UCCCUGGUGGUGCAGUGGGUUAAGGACUUGGCAUUGGUGAAGCUGUGGCGCAGGGUUGAUUCCUGUCCUGGGAA
This 74-nucleotide transfer RNA is filed under the name Sus scrofa (pig). It matches the Rfam family "tRNA". Rfam says of the family: Transfer RNA (tRNA) molecules are approximately 80 nucleotides in length. Their secondary structure includes four short double-helical elements and three loops (D, anti-codon, and T loops). The record is from Rfam by way of RNAcentral. Lineage: Eukaryota; Metazoa; Chordata; Mammalia; Artiodactyla; Suidae.